UCGAGAGUUUGAUCCUGGCUCAGGAUGAACGCUAGCGGCAGGCUUAACACAUGCAAGUCGAGGGGUAUAGUUCUUCGGAGCUAGAGACCGGCGCACGGGUGCGUAACGCGUAUGCAAUCUACCUUUUACAGAGGGAUAGCCCAGAGAAAUUUGGAUUAAUACCUCAUAGUAUGUGAGAAUCGCAUGGUUUUCACAUUAAAGUUCCAACGGUAAAAGAUGAGCAUGCGUCCCAUUAGCUAGAUGGUAAGGUAACGGCUUACCAUGGCUACGAUGGGUAGGGGUCCUGAGAGGGAGAUCCCCCGACACUGGAACUGAGACACGGUCCAGACUCCUA
Molecule: ribosomal RNA, 334 nt
Filed under: uncultured Flavobacterium sp.
Lineage: Bacteria; Pseudomonadati; Bacteroidota; Flavobacteriia; Flavobacteriales; Flavobacteriaceae
Description: bacterial SSU rRNA
Rfam family: Bacterial small subunit ribosomal RNA
Source: RNAcentral